ACAGUAGCUAUUGCAUGACUUUACAUGAAAACACGAACACCCUUACAGUCCAAUUCGAAUAACGUUUAACACUUGAAAACGCUAAAAUUUCAAGUUUUUUGUCAACUUAUAUGAACUCUUGUGCAUUCACGCAACAUUGUUAUGUUUGCAUCGAGUUGCUUAAAUUUUUUAUUUGUAAAAAAAUAUUUAUUUUACUUCCAAAAUAAGUAAGAUCUGCUAAAAGGAAUUAUCUUUUUAUUCCAUCAUUUUCACAAUCAACAUUCUUAAUUUAAUUUAUAAAUUUUAUUUUAUUAAAUAAAUACAUUCUAAUAAUCAGU
Molecule: long non-coding RNA, 317 nt
Organism: Bradysia coprophila
Lineage: Eukaryota; Metazoa; Arthropoda; Insecta; Diptera; Sciaridae
Source: RefSeq, a predicted model, not a curated record